UGGGGAAUAUUGCACAAUGGGCGCAAGCCUGAUGCAGCCAUGCCGCGUGUGUGAAGAAGGCCUUCGGGUUGUAAAGCACUUUCAGCGAGGAGGAAGGGUAGUGUGUUAAUAGCACAUUGCAUUGACGUUACUCGCAGAAGAAGCACCGGCUAACUCCGUGCCAGCAGCCGCGGUAAUACGGAGGGUGCAAGCGUUAAUCGGAAUUACUGGGCGUAAAGCGCACGCAGGCGGUUUGUUAAGUCAGAUGUGAAAUCCCCGCGCUUAACGUGGAACUGCAUUUGAAACUGGCAAGCUAGAGUCUUGUAGAGGGGGGUAGAAUUCCAGGUGUAGCGGUGAAAUGCGUAGAGAUCUGGAGGAAUACCGGUGGCGAAGGCGGCCCCCUGGACAAAGACUGACGCUCAGGUGCGAAAGCGUGGGGAGCAAAACAGGAUUAGAUACCCUGGUAGUCCACGCUGUAAACGAUGUCGACUUGGAGGUUGUGCCCUUGAGGCGUGGCUUCCGGAGCUAACGCGUUAAGUCGACCGCCUGGGGGAGUACGGCCGCAAGGUUAAAAC
Molecule: ribosomal RNA, 554 nt
Filed under: uncultured bacterium
Lineage: Bacteria
Description: partial 16S ribosomal RNA
Rfam family: Bacterial small subunit ribosomal RNA
Source: RNAcentral